GAAUUAUAUACUUAAUUUUUUUUCGUUGAGGUAGAAUUAUUUUGAUUAUGUAAAAUAUUAAGAAUUAUUUGAGUUUUUGUAUAGUUUAUAGAUAAAAUUUUAAUUUUUAUAGUUAAAUAGUAUUGUGGAAGAUAGUUGAAAUAUGUGAAAUAUAGGAAUUUUAUUAAAGUAGUUUGAAUGAUGUACCUUGUGUAUCAGGGUUUAUUAAAAAGAUUUUAAAUAUUUGAAUUUUCCCGAUUUAAAGAGAGCUAAUUGAUUCUGUUGUUUAUUGUUGAAUAAAUAUCAAUGAGGAUUAUUUAGUAAUGAAACGUUAUUCGUUCUUUAAGAUAUCUGGUUUUUCGAGAAAUGAAUUUAAUUCAGUCAAUAUUAUUUUUAUUUUAAUUAAUUAAUUGGUGAGAAAUAUUGAUAAUGAUUUGGGGGAUAAGCUCUAGAUUAUUGUCUAAAAGUGGUUGGAAGAAAAUAUUGAUAAAUUUAAUAAGCUUAGAAUUAGCUAUUUUAAACGGUGUUAUAACUUUGUUUUUAAAAAUUAAUAAUUUUCUAUAAAAUUAGGUUUUUUAUUGAAAUUUGCUAAAGAAUAGAUUUUUAGUAGUGAUAAUGAUAAAAUUAGUAUAAAAAUGUAUGAGUAUUGAGUAAUAAAUUAUGAUAGGUUAUAUUAAGGAACUAGGCAAAUGAAUGCUCGCCUGUUUAACAAAAACAUGUCUUCAUGGAAUUACUUACUAAUAUAUGAAGUUUGACCUGCCCACUGAGAUAAAAAAAUUUGAAGGGCCGCGGUAUUUUGACCGUGCAAAGGUAGCAUAAUCAUUAGUCUUUUAAUUGGAGGCUAGAAUGAAUGGUUGGACGAGGUAUUGACUGUCUCAAUAUUAUUGGUAAUUAGAAUUUAACUUUUGAGUUAAAAGGCUUAGAUUUUUUUAAAGGACGAGAAGACCCUAUAGAGCUUUAUAUCUGAAUAAUUAAUUUGUAUUUAGAAGUUUUAUUGUUUUAGUUGUUAAGGUAUUUUGUUGGGGUGACAAGAAGAUUAAAUUAACUCUUUUUAUUUUUGAACAUUGAUGAAUGAUUUUUUGAUCCAUUAUUAGUGAUUAUAAGAUUAAGUUACCUUAGGGAUAACAGCGUAAUCUUUUUUUAGAGUUCUUAUCGACAAAAAGGGUUGCGACCUCGAUGUUGGAUUAAAGGUAAUCUUGGGUGUAGAAGUUCAGGAUUUAAGUCUGUUCGACUUUUAAAUUUUUACAUGAUCUGAGUUCAGACCGGCGUAAGCCAGGUCGGUUUCUAUCCUUAAUAAAUUUAUAAUAUUUUAGUACGAAAGGACCAAAUAUUGAAAAUAAUGUUUUUAUAAGAUUGAUUAAAAUUAAAGGAG
Molecule: ribosomal RNA, 1351 nt
Filed under: Peltoperlopsis cebuano
Lineage: Eukaryota; Metazoa; Arthropoda; Insecta; Plecoptera; Peltoperlidae
Description: 16S ribosomal RNA
Rfam family: Bacterial large subunit ribosomal RNA (bases 909-1273)
Source: RNAcentral